UGCAUAUCAWAAGCGGAGGAAAAGAAACUAACAAGGAUUCCCCUAGUAACUGCGAGUGAAGCGGGAAAAGCUCAAAUUUAAAAUCUGAUGGCCUUUGGUUAUCCGAGUUGUAAUUUAGAGAAGCGUUUUCCGCGCUGGACCAUGCAUAAGUCUCCUGGAAUGGAGCGUCAUAGAGGGUGAGAAUCCCGUCUUUGGCAUGGAUCCCAGGGCUUCUGUGAUGCGCUCUCAAAGAGUCGAGUUGUUUGGGAAUGCAGCUCAAAAUGGGUGGUGAACUCCAUCUAAAGCUAAAUAUUGGCGAGAGACCGAUAGCGAACAAGUACCGUGAGGGAAAGAUGAAAAGCACUUUGGAAAGAGAGUGAAACAGUACGUGAAAUUGUUGAAAGGGAAACGCUUGAAGUCAGUCGCGUUGACCGAGACUCAGCCUUGCCUCGGCUUGGUGUACUUCUCGGCUGACGGGUCAGCAUCAAUUUUGAUCCUUGGAUAAUGGCAAGGGAAAGGUGGCACCUUUAGGUGUGUUAUAGUCCUUUGUCGGAUACAAGGGUUGGGAUUGAGGAACUCAGCAUGCACCUCACGGUGUCGGGGCCUCUGGCUCACGUUACAUGCUUAGGAUGCUGGCGUAAUGGCUUUAAACGACCCGUCUUG
Molecule: ribosomal RNA, 642 nt
Filed under: Russula sp.
Lineage: Eukaryota; Fungi; Basidiomycota; Agaricomycetes; Russulales; Russulaceae
Description: LSU rRNA
Rfam family: Eukaryotic large subunit ribosomal RNA
Source: RNAcentral